This 92-nucleotide unclassified non-coding RNA is filed under the name Oryza sativa (Asian cultivated rice). Its description in RNAcentral is "partial microRNA MIR490 precursor". Lineage: Eukaryota; Viridiplantae; Streptophyta; Magnoliopsida; Poales; Poaceae. The record is from RNAcentral.
AGGGUGAGUGUGCACGUGUUAGGAGAGUUUAUUGUUUUUAAAAAACAAAAAUAAAGCGAGUACCCUCCCAACAAACAUGCAGCCAUCUUGGA